Molecule: ribosomal RNA, 552 nt
Filed under: uncultured archaeon OS-12
Lineage: Archaea
Description: bacterial SSU rRNA
Rfam family: Archaeal small subunit ribosomal RNA
Source: RNAcentral
GCACCCAACGGGUGGAGCCUGCGGUUUAAUUGGACUCAACGCCGGAAAGCUCACCGGAGACGACAGCGGGAUGAUGGCCAGGCUGAUGACCUUGCUAGACUAGCUGAGAGGAGGUGCAUGGCCGCCGUCAGUUCGUACCGUGAGGCGUCCUGUUAAGUCAGGCAACGAGCGAGACCCGUACCCACAGUUGCCGGCGGCUGCUCCGGCAGGCUGGGUACACUGUGGGGACCGCCUCUGCUAAAGAGGAGGAAGGAGCGGGCGACGGUAGGUCAGUAUGCCCCGAAUUCUCCGGGCUACACGCGGGCUACAAUGGAUGGGACAAUGGGUAUCGACACCGAAAGGUGAAGGCAAUCUCCUAAACCCAUCCUUAGUUCGGAUUGUGGGCUGCAACUCGCCCACAUGAAGCUGGAAUCCGUAGUAAUCGUGUUUCAAAAUAGCACGGUGAAUAUGUCCCUGCUCCUUGCACACACCGCCCGUCAAACCACCCGAGUGAGGUCUUGAUGAAACCGUCGUUUUCUGCGGCGGGUGAAUCUAGGUUUUGCAAGGGGGGUU